Molecule: ribosomal RNA, 371 nt
Filed under: uncultured bacterium
Lineage: Bacteria
Description: bacterial SSU rRNA
Rfam family: Bacterial small subunit ribosomal RNA
Source: RNAcentral
GUAGGAGACGAGCGUUGUCCGGAAUUACUGGGCGUAAAGCGCGUGUAGGCGGAUGAGCAAGUCUGCUGUGAAAGCUCCUGGCUUAACCGGGAGUGGUCGGUGGAAACUGCUCGUCUGGAGGACGGUAGAGGUAGGUAGAAUUCCCGGUGUAGUGGUGAAAUGCGUAGAGAUCGGGAGGAAUACCUGUGGCGAAGGCGGCCUACUGGGCCGGACCUGACGCUGAGACGCGAAGGCGUGGGGAGCGAACGGGAUUAGAUACCCCGGUAGUCCACGCAGUAAACGAUGUGUACUAGGUGUGGCGGGUAUCAAGCCCCGCCGUGCCGGAGCUAACGCUGUAAGUACACCGCCUGGGGAGUACGGCCGCAAGGUUA